Molecule: long non-coding RNA, 770 nt
Filed under: Rattus norvegicus (Norway rat)
Lineage: Eukaryota; Metazoa; Chordata; Mammalia; Rodentia; Muridae
Description: long non-coding RNA NONRATT004115
Source: RNAcentral
GGACGAUUCGGUCUGCUUUUGCUCAUUGUACUAUGGACGAUGGUGACUGUGGUUCUGCCUGCCUCUGGCGAAGGGGGAUGGAAACAGAGUAGGCUGGGAACUGAAGCAGCGGUGAUGGAGGAGGAACGUUGCACAGUCGAGCGCCGAGCACACCUCACGUACUCCGAAUUUAUGCAGCAGUAUGUGUGACUGCCCCAAGUCUCAGCGUGAUUCUAGGCAUACUCCCAAGCAUGGUUUUUGGCUGCGAAGAUCAUACUCUCACUGCCUAGUGUGCAGAAGCCCCUGUAGGGUUCAACCUCUGUGCAACAUGCUCCCCUUUUCCCCCCAGCUAUGCCUUCCUCAAGCCCGUCAUCUUGCAAGGACUCACAGACAACUCGAAGUUCAGAGCCCUGUGUUCCCGGGAAAACCUGCUGGCCUCGUUUGGGGACAAUGUUGUUCGCUUGAGUACAGCCAACACCUACUCCUACCAGAAAGGUGAGCUACACACCCCUCAAGGUCUGCCUUUACAUCCCAAAGGCAGGACUGAUCAGUCCCGCCUGGCUCCCCCUUCUUGUAGUGGACCUGCCUUUCCAGGAAUAUGUGGAGCAGCUGCUGCACCCCCAGGACCCCGAAUCUCUAGGCAAUGGUGAGCCAGACCCAGGCAGCAGUGGGAGUGGGACACUUUGGAGCCCACUGUUGCCAGUACCCCUGCCUGUCAUCUUCUCUGCUGGCAGACACCCUGUACUUUUUCGGAGAUAACAACUUUACUGAGUGGGCCCCACUCUUCCAAC